Molecule: unclassified non-coding RNA, 700 nt
Filed under: Hevea brasiliensis (rubber tree)
Lineage: Eukaryota; Viridiplantae; Streptophyta; Magnoliopsida; Malpighiales; Euphorbiaceae
Source: RNAcentral
GAAAGGAUGGCUGUUUACUAAAUGAUUGUUGUUAUAAUGUGGUUACUCAAGGUUUUCUGCAGCAAAAGGAUUUUCCAGGGCCAAUAAGACGUUAAUGAAAUGGUAGAUAUGGAUUAUGGAAUGCUUUAGUGAUGUGCUGAUAGUAUAGUUGUUGUCUGCUAACGAUAUGUUUUUGAAAAAGACACUUAGAUUUGCCGAAGUCAAUGAGGUGGAAUGUGUAGUGAAAUUUUCCUAUUUAAUGUUGCUCUUAAGGAUGGAAGGAAAUGGAAGUAAUUUGUAUUCCACCUGUAAGCUAUUCUUACUUUGAUCAGAUAUAAUGAUGUGGACAUAAUGCAACCUGCUUCCUGCUUUUGCUUGAUAUGGAUACCCAUUAAUAAGAAAUCCUCCAAUUCAAUACCCAUAUGAUAUAGUUGACUGUUGUAAUUUUGUAAGAAAAUUCAACAGGUAAGGUUAGUGAUAGAAGGACCUGCCUGGCAGAACCACCUAUAGGUGAUGUUGGAAUGAUUCAAGAGGCUGAUAUGGAGGUAUGCAGAUCAGUAAAGUAUCUGAUUUCUGCAUGAAGCAUCUAUAAGAAUAGCAAUUUGACCUUUUCUUUCCCCUACUUCUCUUUCCUUUCCACGCACAUUUAGCAGCUAAGAAUUCCGCUUCUGUUAUUCACUCGGCCCAGUAGUGCCUGUCCGUAUAAAGUGGUCAGUUUUUG